GUCUAUGACCAUACCACUCUGAAUGUGCCCAGUCUCAUCUGAACUCAGAAGUUAAGCACAGUCUAGCCUGGUUAGUACUUAGAUAGGAGACUGGGUGCUGUCGGCU
RNAcentral lists this ribosomal RNA (106 nucleotides) under Piliocolobus tephrosceles (Ugandan red Colobus). Lineage: Eukaryota; Metazoa; Chordata; Mammalia; Primates; Cercopithecidae. The record is from RNAcentral.